UCGGGUUGUAAAGCACUUUUGUCCGGAAAGAAAACCUUUGGGCUAAUACCCCGGGGGGAUGACGGUACCGGAAGAAUAAGCACCGGCUAACUACGUGCCAGCAGCGCGGUAAUCGUAGGGUGCGAGCGUUAAUCGGAAUUACUGGGCGUAAAGCGUGCGCAGGCGGUGAUGUAAGACCGAUGUGAAAUCCCCGGGCUUAACCUGGGAACUGCAUUGGUGACUGCAUCGCUGGAGUAUGGCAGAGGGGGGUGGAAUUCCACGUGUAGCAGUGAAAUGCGUAGAGAUGUGGAGGAACACCGAUGGCGAAGGCAGCCCCCUGGGCCAAUACUGACGCUCAUGCACGAAAGCGUGGGGAGCAAACAGGAUUAGAUACCCUGGUAGUCCACGCCCUAAACGAUGUCAACUGGUUGUCGGGCCUUCAUUGGCUUGGUAACGUAGCUAACGCGUGAAGUUGACCGGCUGGGGAGUACGGUCGCAAGAUUAAAACUCAAAGGAAUUGACGGGGACCCGCACAAGCGGUGGAUGAUGUGGAUUAAUUCGAUGCAACGCGAAAAACCUUACCUACCCUUGACAUGGACGGAAUCUUGCUG
This 590-nucleotide ribosomal RNA is filed under the name uncultured Burkholderia sp. RNAcentral describes it as "bacterial SSU rRNA". It matches the Rfam family "Bacterial small subunit ribosomal RNA", at positions 418 to 1003 of the family's 1533-position model. Lineage: Bacteria; Pseudomonadati; Pseudomonadota; Betaproteobacteria; Burkholderiales; Burkholderiaceae. The record is from RNAcentral.